AGAGUUUGAUCAUGGCUCAGGAUGAACGCUGGCGGCGUGCUUAACACAUGCAAGUCGAACGGUGAAGCCCAGCUUGCUGGGUGGAUCAGUGGCGAACGGGUGAGUAACACGUGAGCAAUCUGCCCCUGACUCUGGGAUAAGCGCUGGAAACGGUGUCUAAUACUGGAUAUGAGCUGCGACCGCAUGGUCAGUAGUUGGAAAGAUUUUUCGGUCAGGGAUGAGCUCGCGGCCUAUCAGCUUGUUGGUGAGGUAAUGGCUCACCAAGGCGUCGACGGGUAGCCGGCCUGAGAGGGUGACCGGCCACACUGGGACUGAGACACGGCCCAGACUCCUACGGGAGGCAGCAGUGGGGAAUAUUGCACAAUGGGCGGAAGCCUGAUGCAGCAACGCCGCGUGAGGGAUGACGGCCUUCGGGUUGUAAACCUCUUUUAGCAGGGAAGAAGCGAAAGUGACGGUACCUGCAGAAAAAGCGCCGGCUAACUACGUGCCAGCAGCCGCGGUAAUACGUAGGGCGCAAGCGUUAUCCGGAAUUAUUGGGCGUAAAGAGCUCGUGGGCGGUUUGUCGCGUCUGCUGUGAAAUCCCGAGGCUCAACCUCGGGCCUGCAGUGGGUACGGGCAGACUAGAGUGCGGUAGGGGAGAUUGGAAUUCCUGGUGUAGCGGUGGAAUGCGCAGAUAUCAGGAGGAACACCGAUGGCGAAGGCAGAUCUCUGGGCCGUAACUGACGCUGAGGAGCGAAAGGGUGGGGAGCAAACAGGCUUAGAUACCCUGGUAGUCCACCCCGUAAACGUUGGGAACUAGUUGUGGGGUCCAUUCCACGGAUUCCGUGACGCAGCUAACGCAUUAAGUUCCCCGCCUGGGGAGUACGGCCGCAAGGCUAAAACUCAAAGGAAUUGACGGGGACCCGCACAAGCGGCGGAGCAUGCGGAUUAAUUCGAUGCAACGCGAAGAACCUUACCAAGGCUUGACAUAUACGAGAACGGGCCAGAAAUGGUCAACUCUUUGGACACUCGUAAACAGGUGGUGCAUGGUUGUCGUCAGCUCGUGUCGUGAGAUGUUGGGUUAAGUCCCGCAACGAGCGCAACCCUCGUUCUAUGUUGCCAGCACGUAAUGGUGGGAACUCAUGGGAUACUGCCGGGGUCAACUCGGAGGAAGGUGGGGAUGACGUCAAAUCAUCAUGCCCCUUAUGUCUUGGGCUUCACGCAUGCUACAAUGGCCGGUACAAAGGGCUGCAAUACCGUGAGGUGGAGCGAAUCCCAAAAAGCCGGUCCCAGUUCGGAUUGAGGUCUGCAACUCGACCUCAUGAAGUCGGAGUCGCUAGUAAUCGCAGAUCAGCAACGCUGCGGUGAAUACGUUCCCGGGUCUUGUACACACCGCCCGU
This 1379-nucleotide ribosomal RNA is filed under the name uncultured bacterium. Its description in RNAcentral is "bacterial SSU rRNA". It matches the Rfam family "Bacterial small subunit ribosomal RNA". The record is from RNAcentral.